GAUAAAGUGCACGCGUACCGAACGAAAAUUCAAAGUCGAUUUUCUCGAAAACAAAGCCCCAAACGAAAAAUUUUUAUUCUAUAUUUUCGACUUCUUUUUUCGCCUAGAAUCACCCCCUUUCCGCUUGUACCACCAGUUACCAACCACCCUGUAUAUUAUGUUGUCCGGAAAGUGUCUUUCUUUCGCAAACGUGUUUUUUUACAAUAGUGCACUUUCGUACAAACGUGAAACCAAGUCUGUGAAAUGUCGUGGU
RNAcentral lists this unclassified non-coding RNA (253 nucleotides) under Bombus terrestris (buff-tailed bumblebee). Its description in RNAcentral is "misc RNA ENSBTSG00005030088.1". The record is from RNAcentral. Lineage: Eukaryota; Metazoa; Arthropoda; Insecta; Hymenoptera; Apidae.